GUGGCGCUGCCUGCCGGGUCAAUACAAUGCUGGCCUCUCUCCAAAGCAAACACUAUCGGUUAUGUAUUAAUAAGGGAACUAUGGCGGAGCUCUCGGCAUUGUCCCACUUUGAAGCUCCAAUUGAAAUCAAUCGGAGCUUCAGUACACAACCCAGCCUAACUGACUGUGAAUCGAAGAGGUCAGCAGCACACAGAUUCUGAUGGUGGUGGCAGAACCUGCCUGGGUCAAUGGAAUACCGUGAUUUUAGGAGAAACAAGAAUCUGAUAAAAUGGGAUUUUAAUUUAUGCACACCUAUUCUUUCCUGAAAGUCAUCCAAACCUUUCCUACUACAAUAAAAAAGAAUAUUAGCGUCUCGUGAUGUACUGCUUCCCAUGGGGAUAGGGUUCGAGAAAGGAUGAAAUUAGAAGAAAAGCCUCCUGUGGUCAACCAUCUUGAACAUUGUAUUGUAUACUUUGUGGCAUGUGCAAUAUAUAUGAAUAUUUAUGAUAUAUUAGAAAAUGAGUAUAAGGAAAGAUAGGGGUAUCAUUAUAGUCUUGUGGGUAUUGAAUCACUUUUUGGUGUUUUUAGAGCAUAUUUUUUGUAUUUGAUAUGGAGUAUGAAGCACUAGUCACUUUAAUAAUGUUGCAAUGUUAAAAAAGUAGUUUGCUGUGAUAUGUAAACUACUCAAUUAAAAUGUCACAGUUUUUUUACACAACAGGAGAAUGAAUAGGUUAUUAGAAAUAUUGCAUUUAAUAUAGUCAGUAUGUAUUGUCAAUAUUGCAGAUUACACUGAUAUUGUAAAAGGUUUUGUCACUUGAUAUGGUCAUUUUUUAAUCUAGUGGGUAGAUGGAUUAAUUUCAUGCCGUCAGUAUUAUGACAAAGUGAAUAUCAAAAUUAGAAUAAGUAUAUAGAAAACGGAAUGGCAAAGAAAUGCAUCCAUCUGCACCAAUAAUCCCAAUUGUACGAAUAUUUGUGUUAUAAUACAUUGCACUGUCACUUUAAUUGUUAUAAUAGUAUAGGAUAUUGUUGUAUAUAAAAUAUAGAAUGGUGACUAAUAUGGUAAUAUAGCUAUUGGGCAGGAAGAUGUAGUUAGUAGAAAUAAGGGGUUAAUGAUACCUGCAAGUAUGUCCCUUUAUUAUGGCAUGGUGAUCACUAUAGGUGCGCGCAUCAGUGAUACAUAGCUAGAGCACCUGGGUCCCUGGUGACUAACAGCACUGUGUGCAUGUCAGACUGAGAGCAAGACGGACAUGCGCAGUAGUGCUAUGACGCUGAGAGACUGGGGCGUGAUAAUCUGACAUCUCAUGUGAUGCGCCCCGCAUCAUGUGAUCAACAUGACGCAGGUGGAAGUCACAGUGGCAUCCCGAAAGUUACUAGGGGAGAAUAGCAGUAUAAAAACGAGCUCUGGAUAAACAAAGGUUAUGCCCUCUUCGGAAGGAGCUGAAACAGCUGUAGGGGUAGCGAGGCGCCACUGUGCAGACCUAAUAUGGGUAAGACACUGUUAUAUGCAUGAUACUCUAAAUGUAUGGUAACACUAUGCAUGGGACUAUAAUCUGUUUUGCUGUUAAAGACUUAUAAGGUUGGGGAAAUCAAAUAGCUGUGAUAUACUGUAAACAUUCAGCCAUAGUACUAGCUAUAUCCUCCAGUUAUAGGUGACAGUAUUGGGAAGCAGAGUUCAGUUAAUGUGAUUUCCAUGUUCAUAAGAUUAUGGUAUGCAUAUUUGCCUAAUCGUGUCUGCACACUAUCGCCCCGCAAUUAGUGAAAAUUCCUGCCUGUAAUAUUGUAGUGUUGUUUUUGUAUUUGAAACAAUAAAAAUUUGUAUAUU
This is a long non-coding RNA of Hyla sarda, 1801 nucleotides long. RefSeq lists it as uncharacterized. The record is from RefSeq and is a predicted model, not a curated record. NCBI's taxonomy places the organism in Eukaryota, Metazoa, Chordata, Amphibia, Anura, Hylidae. The transcript is spliced from 4 exons.